This 418-nucleotide ribosomal RNA is filed under the name uncultured bacterium. RNAcentral describes it as "bacterial SSU rRNA". It matches the Rfam family "Bacterial small subunit ribosomal RNA", at positions 355 to 786 of the family's 1533-position model. The record is from RNAcentral.
UGGGGAAUAUUGCACAAUGGGCGAAAGCCUGACGCAGCGACGCCGCGUGGGGGAUGAAGGCCUUCGGGUUGUAAACCCCUUUCAGCAGGGACGAAGCGAGAGUGACGGUAGGGGCAGAAGAAGCGCCGGCCAACUACGUGCCAGCAGCCGCGGUAAGACGUAGGGCGCGAGCGUUGUCCGGAUUUAUUGGGCGUAAAGAGCGUGUAGGCGGCCAGGUAGGUCUGCUGUGAAAACUCGAGGCUUAACCUCGAGAUGUCGGCGGAAACCAUCUGGCUAGAGUCCGGAAGAGGAGAAUGGAAUUCCGGUGUAGCGGUGAAAUGCGCAGAUAUCGGGAAGAACACCCGUGGCGAAGGCGGUUCUCUGGGACGGUACUGACGCUGAGACGCGAAAGCGUGGGGAGCGAACAGGAUUAGAUACC